This 253-nucleotide ribosomal RNA is filed under the name uncultured bacterium. RNAcentral describes it as "partial 16S ribosomal RNA". It matches the Rfam family "Bacterial small subunit ribosomal RNA", at positions 524 to 776 of the family's 1533-position model. The record is from RNAcentral.
UACAGAGGGCUCAAGCGUUGUUCGGAUUCAUUGGGCGUAAAGGGUGCGUAGGUGGCGAGGCAAGUCAGAUGUGAAAUCCCGGGGCUCAACCCCGGAACUGCAUUUGAAACUGCCUUGCUCGAGUACUGGAGAGGAGACUGGAAUUUACGGUGUAGCAGUGAAAUGCGUAGAUAUCGUAAGGAAGACCAGUGGCGAAGGCGAGUCUCUGGACAGUUACUGACGCUGAGGCACGAAGGCCAGGGGAGCAAACGGG